RNAcentral lists this small RNA (125 nucleotides) under Marmota monax (woodchuck). Lineage: Eukaryota; Metazoa; Chordata; Mammalia; Rodentia; Sciuridae. The record is from RNAcentral.
GCUGGGUGUGGUGGUACACACCUGUAAUCCCAGCAGCUGGGGAGGCUGAGGCAGGAGGAUUGUGAAUUCAAAGUCACCUUCAGUAAUGGCAAGGUGCUAAGCAACUCAGUGAGAACCUGUCUCUA